UUGCUGGUGUGGCCUUUCCUUUUGCAUGUAAAGCAUCUAAAGCAAUCCUUCUUUAGAUGGCCAACUUUUCCACAUUGAAACAGCUUGGUCCUUGUUUCUCGUAUUCACGUUUGCUUGGCUGCUUCUGCUGUUCCUUUUUAUAAUUGUUACCUUUUGUUACCAGCGCCACUGAUGUUUCCUGGUCGUCUUUCUUCCAUCUGAUUUCUUCCGCCAUCAGCCUGGUACUAAGCCUGUCUAAGGUCUUCUUUUCUUCUUCCACCGAAUCCCACGCACUGUAAAAAUGGUCAAAUUUGUUCGGUAACACCGAUAAAAUGCGUGUUAUCAGCAUUUUCUCGUCAAUUUCACUCCCAAG
Molecule: unclassified non-coding RNA, 352 nt
Filed under: Bombus terrestris (buff-tailed bumblebee)
Lineage: Eukaryota; Metazoa; Arthropoda; Insecta; Hymenoptera; Apidae
Description: misc RNA ENSBTSG00005019847.1
Source: RNAcentral